GUCCACACGGUAACGAUGAAUACUCGCUGUAGGCGAUAUACAGUCUGCGGCCAAGCGAAGCAUUAAGUAUUCCACCUGGGAGUACGCCGGCAACGGUGAAACUCAAAGGAAUUGACGGGGCCCGCACAAGCGGAGGAACAUGUGGUUUAAUUCGAUGAUACGCGAGGAACCUUACCCGGGCUUAAAUUGCAACCGAAUAUGGCGGAAACGCUAUAGCUAGCAAUAGCGGUUGUGAAGGUGCUGCAUGGUUGUCGU
Molecule: ribosomal RNA, 255 nt
Filed under: uncultured bacterium
Lineage: Bacteria
Description: partial 16S ribosomal RNA
Rfam family: Bacterial small subunit ribosomal RNA
Source: RNAcentral